Macaca nemestrina (pig-tailed macaque) is the source of this 279-nucleotide unclassified non-coding RNA. Its record names the gene 7SK. It matches the Rfam family "7SK RNA". From Rfam's summary of the family: 7SK was discovered as an abundant small nuclear RNA in the mid-70s but a possible function has only recently been suggested. Two independent studies have found that 7SK RNA binds the CDK9/cyclin T complex (known as elongation factor P-TEFb). NCBI's taxonomy places the organism in Eukaryota, Metazoa, Chordata, Mammalia, Primates, Cercopithecidae. The record is from Ensembl.
GGAUGUGAGGGCAAUCUAGCUGCAACAUUUGUCAUCCCAUUGACUGCCACGAUUGAUUCAGCUGAUCUGGCUGGCUACGCAAGUGUCCCCUUCCUCCCUCACCACUCCAUGUGAUGUGCAUCCCUCGUGAAGCUGCGCACUGGGUCAAAGAGGAUGACCAUCCCCGAGAGUAGGACCCAUCUUCAUUAAAGGGUGUACCAGUAUUGGCGCUCCUCUGAUAGAAUCUCCAAACAAAGAGCCAACUUCUCCUGCUAAAUGCCAUGCUGGUUGCAUUCCAGU